AGCUGAUCAGCAGGAGGAGAAGAGUCUGACGGAGCACCAGACGAACAUUUUCAACCAUUUGGACUCAGCUCAGCUGCUACAGUGGACAAAAAUGUCAUCAACACAAAAGGACCAACAUGAAGCGAGAAGUCAGCGCUCUCAGGAGGCCGACAAACCUCACAGAAGACAGAGAGAGAAAACAUACAGCUGUGAUGAGUGUGGAAAGGAUUUCACUCAUGCUGGAAGCUUAAAAAGACACCAACUAUUCCACAGUGGAGUUAAAGCAUACAGCUGUGAUAAGUGUGGAAAGGAUUUUACUUAUGCUGGAAGCUUAAAACUACACCAACUCAUCCACAGUGGAGUUAAAGCAUACAGCUGUGAUGAGUGUGGAAAGGAUUUUACUCAUGCUGGAAGCUUAAAAGUACACCAACUCAUCCACAGUGGAGUUAAAGCAUACAGCUGUGAGUUGUGUGGAAAGUCAUUUACCCUGGCUGAACACCUAAAAGCACACAAACCUGUUCACAGUGGAGUUAAAGCGUACAGCUGUGACUUGUGUGGAAGGUCUUUUACCCAUGCUGGAAGCUUAAAAAGACACCAACUUAUCCACAAUGGAGUUAAAGCAUACAGCUGUGAGUUGUGUGGACAGUCUUUUACCCUGGCUGGAAGCUUAAAAACACACAAACUCAUACACAGUGGAAUUAAACCGUACAGUUGUGGUUUGUGUGGACAGUCUUUUACCCUGGCUGGAAGCUUAAACGCACACCAACUCAUACACAGUGGAGAUAAACCGCACAGCUGUGGUUUGUGUGGACAGUCUUUUACCCGGGCUGGACACUUAAAAAGACACCAACUCAUACACAGUGGAGUUAAACCAUACAUCUGUGACUUGUGUGGACAGUCUUUUUCCCGGGCUGGAAACUUAAAAAGACACCAACUCAUACACAGUGGAGUUAAACCAUACAUCUGUGGCUUGUGUGGACAGUGUUUUACCCAUGCUGGAAACUUAAAAGCACACCAACUCGUCCACAGUGGAGUUCAAGCGUACAGCUGUGACUUGUGUGGACAGUCUUUUACCCGGGCUGGAAACUUAAAAAGACACCAACUCGUCCACAGUGGAGUUAAAGCGUACAGCUGUGACUUGUGUGGACAGUCUUUUACCCAGGCUGGAAACUUAAAAGCACACCAACUCGUCCACAGUGGAGUUAAAGCAUACAGCUCUGAUCAGUUUGAUAAAGCUUUUACUCACAAUAGCAGCCUACAGAAUCAAGUUACCCACUCUGGAUUCAAGGCGUACAGCUGUCACAUUUGUGGAAAAACCUUCCGCUGGCCAGGCAACCGAAAUAUUCACCUACGCAUUCACACCAAAAAUGAUGUUUGCUGUUGUGAUCAGUGUGGCAAAGUUUGUGUGACAUACAAAAACUUAGAGCAGCACAUGUUUACCCACACUGAGGAGAGACCUUAUAAAUGUGAACUGUGUGAGAAGACUUUUAAAUCUCCACAUUACCUCAAAUCACAUCAAAAGAUUCACGCCAGAGAGAAACUCUACAAGUGCAGUUACUGUGAGAGCGACACAGAUGGAUCCAGUUCUCAACCCUGUCGUCACUGUGUCGGCGGGAAAGUGUUUCGCUGUGACCUUUGUGGAAAAACUUUCAGUCAUCUAAAGGGCCUAAAAAUACAUCAACACAGACACACUGGAGACAAAAUGAACUACUGCAAAGAAUGUGGGAGCUGCUUCCCCACAUCAAGUGCAUUAAAACAACAUGAACUCUGUCACAGUGGGGUAAAAAAGCACGUCUGUGACCAGUGUGGGUCAUCCUUCAUCACUGCAGGUAAUCUUAAAGAGCAUAAGAGUGCACACAGGAGAGAAACCAUACAAGUGCAGACACUGUGACAAAAGCUUCUCACAGACAAAUAUUCAUAACCUUUAUGAAGAUACAAACAUUGAAGAGAACUUCAGCUGUGACCAGUGUGACAAGAGCUUCAAGAAUCUCAGUUCAUACUCUGCACACAAACGAUCCCACUCUGUAAAUAAACUGUUUCACUGUUACCAAUGUGCAAAAACAUUCACUUCAUUAUCUGCUCUAUGAAACCAUCAGCGUGAUCAUGCAGGACUGAAAUCACUGGAUCACAAUGAAUCUGAAGAGGAAGAAAGAUCCUCUUCUGGUUUCAGGGUCAGACUUAAAAACCUUGAGAUCAGGCUCCACAGAGUUCAGAUGGAAUCUCCUGUGAAGAGUGUCAGCUGAUGUCACACUUGAACCUGAUGAGCUAGCUCUGCUUUCUGGAGCUGCAGUGAAUAAUCCUAAAUGUUACAAUUAGGAAACUACAACUAUAGAUAUGUACAUCAAGUUUAUCUUUUAGUUUUUUUCCUUUGGAUAAUUUUACAAUGGUAAACAGUAGUGGUAGGGCUGUGCAAUAUUACCAAAAUCUCAUAUCCCGACAACGAUAUAAAUCACAAAAAUGUAACAUUUUCUGUAAAUUCUGUGAAUCUCGGGCAGCUCGACUUGCGUGACGUGUUUCCAGCUGGGUGUCGUGUACCUGGAGUCGAGUGUUUUAACAGAUGCAUGAAAUUAUACAUUUUUAGACAGAAGUUGUAAUGGCUGCCAUUUUCUUUGUAUUUAUUACACUGCGUGCUGCGGGGAAAAGCCUGUUCUAACGUUUCAGUGUAAGGUUUAUUUUUUUAGCACCUGAUGGCUCCUUUCUGCUUCUCAUCUGUAAACACUCUUCAUACUCUUUCACAGGAUUCAGUUUAUUUUGAAAAGUCUCAACAGGAUCUUGAGCUUUAUUGUGAAAGGUUUUUGUGCAAAACAAACAAGCGGACUAAGGAAAGCGCUAGUAAGCACUCUCUGCUUAUGACCCAAAAAACAAAAAAACAAAAAACAGAGGAAGUUUUAGGAGUGACGGCGAGAGAGACAGCAGAAAAAGAGAGAGAGCGAGUUCUGAGAUGUGAGAGAUUUUUGACGUUUAGCGUGUUUGGAGUGCGUCGUUAAUGUGUUCUCUUGUGUACUUAGUGUGUAGUGUUGUGGAUAGUUUUGUGUUGUGUGUCAGAACAAUGAGGCGACUGCUGUCUCCAGGUAGAAACACAAGUGAUACACCUGCUGCUGUCAGACCUGCAGGUAUCAGGCUGUGAUGUUCUCCUUUAUAGUGGAGAGAGUGGAGUGGACAUUCCGUAUAUGUCUGUAUAUAUGUCUGCUGUGACAAAACAAAUUUCCCACGUGUGGGACUAAUAAAGGUCAUCUUAUCUUAUCUUAUAUAUAUUUUAUUUAUCUGUCUCGCUCAUAUCUGCGGUAGGCUCGCUUAGCAUAGGAUACAGACGCCCCAGGCGGGAAUCGGACUUGUGAUCCUCUGCUCCAAAGGCGUGUAGUCUAACCACUACGCUAUCCAGCUGCUUCCCUGGAUCAGGACCGUCCAACCUUCGGUUAGCCAGGUAGAAGCCCCCAUU
Molecule: long non-coding RNA, 3418 nt
Organism: Pelmatolapia mariae (spotted tilapia)
Lineage: Eukaryota; Metazoa; Chordata; Actinopteri; Cichliformes; Cichlidae
Exons: 3
Source: RefSeq, a predicted model, not a curated record